UGUCCUUAUUUGCCAGCACGUAAUGGUGGGAACUCUAAGGAGACUGCCGGUGACAAACCGGAGGAAGGUGGGGACGACGUCAAGUCAUCAUGGCCCUUAUGACCAGGGCUACACACGUGCUACAAUGGGACGUACAGAGGGUUGCUAAGCCGCGAGGUGGUGCCAAUCCCAGAAAACGUUUCGUAGUCCGGAUCGAAGUCUGCAACUCGACUUCGUGAAGUCGGAAUCGCUAGUAAUCGCGAAUCAGCAUGUCGCGGUGAAUACGUUC
This 268-nucleotide ribosomal RNA is filed under the name unidentified gamma proteobacterium groupE. RNAcentral's name for it is "partial 16S small subunit ribosomal RNA". It matches the Rfam family "Bacterial small subunit ribosomal RNA", at positions 1106 to 1373 of the family's 1533-position model. The record is from RNAcentral. Lineage: Bacteria; Pseudomonadati; Pseudomonadota; Gammaproteobacteria.